CCUACGGGAGGCAGCAGUCGAGAAUCAUUCACAAUGGGGGAAACCCUGAUGGUGCGACGCCGCGUGGGGGAAUGAAGGUCUUCGGAUUGUAAACCCCUGUCAUGUGGGAGCAAAUUAAAAAGAUAGUACCACAAGAGGAAGAGACGGCUAACUCUGUGCCAGCAGCCGCGGUAAUACAGCGGUCUCAAGCGUUGUUCGGAAUCAGUGGGCGUAAAGGGUGCGUAGGCUGUUUCGUAAGUCGUGUGUGAAAGGCGCGGGCUCAACCCGCGGACGGCACAUGAUACUGCGAGACUAGAGUAAUGGAGGGGGAAGCGGAAUUCUCGGUGUAGCAGUGAAAUGCGUAGAUAUCGAGAGGAACACUCGUGGCGAAGGCGGGUUCCUGGACAUUAACUGACGCUGAGGCACGAAGGCCAGGGGAGCGAAAGGGAUUAGAUACCCGAGUAGUC
This 446-nucleotide ribosomal RNA is filed under the name uncultured bacterium. Its description in RNAcentral is "partial 16S ribosomal RNA". It matches the Rfam family "Bacterial small subunit ribosomal RNA", at positions 338 to 795 of the family's 1533-position model. The record is from RNAcentral.